AGUAACGCGUGAGGAACCUGCCUCAAAGAGGGGGACAACAGUUGGAAACGACUGCUAAUACCGCAUAAGCCCACAGCUCGGCAUCGAGCAGAGGGAAAAGGAGCAAUCCGCUUUGAGAUGGCCUCGCGUCCGAUUAGCUAGUUGGUGAGGUAAUGGCCCACCAAGGCGACGAUCGGUAGCCGGACUGAGAGGUUGAACGGCCACAUUGGGGCUGAGACACGGCCCAG
This 227-nucleotide ribosomal RNA is filed under the name uncultured bacterium. Its description in RNAcentral is "partial 16S ribosomal RNA". It matches the Rfam family "Bacterial small subunit ribosomal RNA", at positions 109 to 334 of the family's 1533-position model. The record is from RNAcentral.